UACGGAGGAUCCAAGCGUUAUCCGGAAUCAUUGGGUUUAAAGGGUCCGUAGGUGGGCCGUUAAGUCAGAGGUGAAAUCCUGCAGCUCAACUGUAGAAUUGCCUUUGAUACUGGCGGCCUUGAAUCAUUGUGAAGUGGUUAGAAUAUGUGGUGUAGCGGUGAAAUGCAUAGAUAUCACAUAGAAUACCGAUUGCGAAGGCAGAUCACUAACAAUGCAUUGACACUGAUGGACGAAAGCGUGGGGAGCGAACAGG
This 253-nucleotide ribosomal RNA is filed under the name uncultured bacterium. Its description in RNAcentral is "partial 16S ribosomal RNA". It matches the Rfam family "Bacterial small subunit ribosomal RNA", at positions 524 to 776 of the family's 1533-position model. The record is from RNAcentral.